This 797-nucleotide ribosomal RNA is filed under the name uncultured delta proteobacterium. RNAcentral describes it as "bacterial SSU rRNA". It matches the Rfam family "Bacterial small subunit ribosomal RNA", at positions 8 to 803 of the family's 1533-position model. The record is from RNAcentral. Lineage: Bacteria; Deltaproteobacteria.
AGGGUUUGAUCCUGGCUCAGAAUGAACGCUGGCGGCGUGCCUAACACAUGCAAGUCGAGCGAGAAAACUCCUUCGGGAGCGAGUACAGCGGCGGACGGGUGAGUAACACGUGAGAAUCUGCCUUUCAGUGAAGAAUACCCUGGAGAAAUCCAGGCUAAUGCUGCAUACGUCCCUUCGGGGAGAAAGAUGGCCUCUUUGCUGUCGCUGAAAGAUGAGCUUGCGGACUAUUAGCUAGUUGGUGGGGUAAAGGCCCACCAAGGCGAUGAUGGUUAGCCGGCCUGAGAGGGUGUUCGGUCACACUGGAACUGAGAUACGGUCCAGACUCCUACGGGAGGCAGCAGUGGGGAAUCUUGCGCAAUGGGCGAAAGCCUGACGCAGCGACGCCGCGUGGGGGAUGAAGGUCUUCGGAUUGUAAACUCCUGUUAAGUGGGAAGAAAAGCUUGUUUCUAAUACAAACAAGCCAUGACGGUACCAUUAGAGAAAGCACCGGCUAACUUCGUGCCAGCAGCCGCGGUAAUACGAGGGGUGCAAGCGUUAUUCGGAAUCACUGGGCGUAAAGGGUGCGUAGGUGGCGUGUUAAGUCAGCUGUUAAAUUCCUCAGCCUAACUGAGGGCAUGCGGUCGAAACUAACAUGCUAGAGGGUGGAAGAGAGAAGUGGAAUUCUCGGAGUAGCGGUAAAAUGCGUAGAUCUCGAGAGGAACACCGAUGGCGAAGGCAGCUUCUUGGUCCAUUCCUGACACUGAGGCACGAAAGCGUGGGGAGCAAACAGGAUUAGAUACCCUGGUAGUCCACGCUGG